CACGCUCUCAAGUUUCACUAUGUAUUUUAUCACUUCUGCCAGACUGGAACAGAGUUGUCUGCUUUAACUAAGCACUGUGCUUCUAGCUUUCAAACCUCAAGGACGGUUGUAAUUUGGCACCUGAAAAUGGUAGCCAUUUUCUCUAUCAGGUUAAGAUACCCUUCUUGAAGCUGUAGAACCUAUCAGCCUGCUGGAAUGCAGCUGUGUAUCUGAAAAUCCUGGAUAAGGAAGAGAGACUGCAGCCAGCACUUGCUUCUGUCGCUAGACCAUUUCACAGUUUCUUUCAUAUGCCGGUGCUGGCUGAGGUGAGCCUGGAGGGGCAGUGGCAACGCUUCCAGUGCUGGACGAGUCACCAGGGAGGACGGUGUAGAUCAGCUUUCCGGAGGAAAGUCGUGCUGGGAGACAGCGGGCCCCGUCUGGCUGGCAGCUACCGCUGUACCAGAGCCUUCUGACUUUUAAACGGGGAUGUCCAUGCAACGAUUACUGGCAAACUCCUAAAAUAAUACUAAUAAUAAAAACAACAACAACAACA
RNAcentral lists this long non-coding RNA (532 nucleotides) under Cyanistes caeruleus (blue tit). RNAcentral describes it as "lncRNA (ENSCCEG00000000990.1)". The record is from RNAcentral. Lineage: Eukaryota; Metazoa; Chordata; Aves; Passeriformes; Paridae.